AUUCCAGCUCCAGUAGCGUAUAUUAAAGUCGUUGCAGUUAAAAAGCUCGUAGUUGGAUUUCUGAUAGUAGCGUUGCAUGUUCGCUCCUUUCAUCCUUCUAGAGAACGGUUCUCUCCUUCAUUGGCAGUGGGAUCGCAAUCUAGAUCUUUUACUUUGAAAAAAUUAGAGUGUUUAAAGCAGGCUUGUGCUAUGAAUACAUUAGCAUGGAAUAAUAAUUUAGGACUUUAGUUCUAUUUUGUUGGUUUCUAGAACUGAAGUAAUGAUUGAUAGGGAUAGUUGGGGGUGCUAGUAUUCAGCGGCCAGAGGUGAAAUUCUUGGAUUCGCUGAAGACUAACUUAUGCGAAAGCAUUCACCAAGGAUGUCUUCAUCA
Molecule: ribosomal RNA, 370 nt
Filed under: Reckertia sp.
Lineage: Eukaryota; Cercozoa; Imbricatea; Thaumatomonadida; Thaumatomastigidae
Description: partial small subunit ribosomal RNA
Rfam family: Eukaryotic small subunit ribosomal RNA
Source: RNAcentral